AGAUGUAGAGAGUGAAUUUUAGAAAGAGUAGGAGAUGCUUUUUUUUAAAACUAAGAGUAAGGAGAUGCUAUUAGUAUCCAUAUCGCUUCUUCAUUUUUUUGUUGAUUUAUUUGAUUUUUUAUUUUACAUUUAUAUGUUCAUUUUUUAUCUGUCAUUACUCAUUGAAUUUGGUGCAUGUUGUCAUUUUCAUGCGGCCGGAUGCACAAACAGGCCUAGCCAUCGUUGCUACACGCCGUGGGCUUCUUAUUAAUUAUUAAUCUUUAUUACCGAACAUGCCGUCCGGCCUGAUUUGCCAAUGGCACAUGUUCCGAACGAUGCAGAAUCCACAAAACAAAACAUAACAUCUCGCCCUGAAUUAGCUUCUAAUCUAAUGGUGCUAAUGUUUGGAUCAGUUUUGGGAUUUUUAAAAACC
Molecule: long non-coding RNA, 412 nt
Filed under: Sorghum bicolor (sorghum)
Lineage: Eukaryota; Viridiplantae; Streptophyta; Magnoliopsida; Poales; Poaceae
Description: long non-coding RNA (SBIC_LNC017937)
Source: RNAcentral